Molecule: microRNA precursor, 110 nt
Organism: Danio rerio (zebrafish)
Lineage: Eukaryota; Metazoa; Chordata; Actinopteri; Cypriniformes; Danionidae
Source: Ensembl
CCUCUGAUAACCACAUGAUUCUUAAAUGUAAACCACUAUCAAGUUUCUUUUUGGGGGAACAAUAUUGAGAUUGGGGUGAGUUAGGGUGCGUUCACACCUGUGAAUCGAUU